Long non-coding RNA from Columba livia (rock pigeon), 3905 nucleotides. RefSeq lists it as uncharacterized. Lineage: Eukaryota; Metazoa; Chordata; Aves; Columbiformes; Columbidae. The record is from RefSeq and is a predicted model, not a curated record. The transcript has 9 exons.
CAAGUCAGUUCUCCUCUGCACCCUGUUGUGAGCUGAGAGAGAUUUGCUAAAGAACGAGACCAUGGGGCAGCUGGGCCUAACCUGCCGAUUUUGCACCAUCUUCAGCCAGCAGCUUGCACCCAGUUAUUCCUGGAUCUAUCCUACCCAUGUGUGCUGUGAAUACCUGCCUAUCUUUGCUGUGUGUUUUGAGAUCACCAGGUGAACUGUGCUGUUCAGUCUCUUUGCAGUGAAACACCAACUGCGCAUCUACAUAUGGGUGAACCAACAGCUCUCUGACUCAUGGCUGAUGGGCGCCAAGGAGCCCAUAUUCCCUUUCAUCGUGGGCAGGCAGCCCUGGGUGGCAUAAAGUACACACUGAAAUGUGCUGUCCGGGGAUAUGAGAAGCAACUGUUCCUUCCAGAUGUUCAGUCAUCUCAUUGCUUGUUAGAUUUGAGGACAGGAACCCCCUUCAGUUAUGUGAGGCACUCACUGUUCUCAGACGUCCGGGAGAGUGUGUGGGGUGGGGGGAGAAUUGGUUUCGUGUGACGCCAGCAAGGAAUAGAGGCAGAGGUUUUGUGCUUUUUGGAAAACACUUGAAAGGCCUUUGAGCUCUGGCUAAUCUCCAUUGUUCAUGUGUUUUCCGGCAGCAGAACGAGAGAGGAAGAACAGAAAGAGGCAGGAGAGCAGAGCUGAGAAUUAGAAGUGGAAGCCUUUCCCGUGCUCAGGCGAGCUUGGCAGAAUCCGUCGUGGCAAAUGGAGCUGGAUGCAACAGAAUCCAGGCUUAAGCUUGGCUCAGAUCUUAGACCCAGCAGAGCCUCCUUAGAUCUGCAGGAGCUUUGUUGGCUGAAAUUCUUCUGUAUCAGAUCCAGGAGAUCAAAAUGCAGGAGAACCAAGGUGGAAAGUGAGUAGCUAUUUAAGAACUUGAAGAACUGAAGCUUUUUCUGGAGCAGCUCUCUGCUUUGUAUCCAGCUGAACACACUGGGAGGACAACACGAUCAAAAGGUGCCCUGAGUGCUGUAAGAUGCAGCUGACAUAAAGGCAGCAAAAGGCAAGAGCCUUUUGAAGCCAAAUGCUCGGAAGUGACUGCCUGGCAUCUGUCCUUAUUGGUUUUGAAAUGGGGAAGAUUGUGACCCAGAAGGAUGAAAUUUGGCAGCUUCCGCUGUGUGUGCUGAGAGAAGCAGAAGAAGCCUGAGUGAGAGGUGAACAGAUUAACAAGGAGCCUGUUUGGAGUUUUUUUCAAGCUGGGUUUGCUUUACAGAAUGAAGUCUGAAAAAGGGCUCGUUUGAGUCCCACGCAGCAAGGGGAUGGCAGGGACUGCAGCAAGCCGUGCUGGAGAAAUUCUUGGAGCAGGAGGAAGGUGAAGAGUCCCAAAGGAACCGUGAGGUAACUUGCUGCUUGUGGUUUGUUGAGCUCUUGGUAGCCUGCUCCAGGAUAUUGAAGAACCAGCCUUUGGGAGACAGAGACGGUGUCCCUGGAGAGCCUGACUUUACUUUGAACUGGCCAGUUUCCUUCUGGGCGCCUCUGCACAGUAUUUUGCAGGUAGGUGCGUGUUCAUUUUGUCUGCAUUCGGAGGCAUUUGGAUGUGAACCAGGUCUGAAGUGGCACCCUGUAGCGGUGGUGAACUCAGUGCAGAGGUGGGAUCCUUUAGCGCUGACUUAACGCUGAGUUAAUGCAGCCACAGGACUUGCAGUUGGCUCAGGCCUGGGCACGUGUACAGACGUGACACAGGCCGUAUCCUGAGCUUCUUGGAGUUUUGUGGCAGUCCAGCUCCAAAUCCAAACUUAGGAACACUGAUGCCAACCUUUUGGGCCAGGACAUGUGCUCAGCUUUCCUUCUGCCUACCCGUGAACCCUUAGUGCUCGGCGAGGGAGGGAUGAGCAGCCCUGGCAGCCCUCGCUAUGUGAGCUGUGUUUGCUUUGGGUGAAAUGCGGUAAUUAGAGAGAGACUGAUGCUUGAAGCUCCUGGGAGCUAUUCCCCAAGUAAGGAAGUAUCAUCUCUGUGAAACACGCUUGCUGGGGUGAAACCUGCAUGUCUGUAUGAAGUCAUCUGCUGUAAUGGUAACAACUCGUGUCUUUUCUCACCACAGAGGUGGUUCUGAAGUAUUGUCCUGUCUUGGAGAAGGAAACAGAGGAAUAAAUAUUCCGAGUGGCUCAAUCUAUAGGAACAAGCGCGCAGAGGAGGGGAUGAGUUAAUCUCCUCCGUGCUCUUGGCCAUGGUGGGGCUGUUCCUAUAUUCCCAUGUGCUGUUGUGGGGCGAUAAGCUGGUUGCAGGGAGAACACUCUGUCCCUUCCCUGGAAGAAGAGAUUCAGCUGAACGUCCCUCCUGGGAGCGGUCCCGGGUAGGCAGCUGAAAUUUUCCUGUUCCUCUCGUCCCAUGACUUCUAGGAAAUAUCCACAGUCCUUUGCGUUGUCCAGAAUAAUUCCACUGUCCAGAGGAUGAGUGUUUUGGUAUCUGCAGGCUGGUCGUUUCCUUUUUAGCACUUUUUAGCUGUUCUCUCCCAAAUUGGUGCCUCCAUCCAGCCCUUAAUUUCUCUUGUUCUUUGAAUGGCAGCUUGCCUGCAGGAAUGCAUCUGACAUGAAACAUAGGACCUCUCUGCUCCUUCCCUGCCUCUGCGCCAGCCUGUGACCAUGGCUGUAGUUGUUCUGUGGAACAUGUGGCCCCUAUAAAACAUCUUGUAACAGAACAAAUGUGAAGUGGAUCCCCAUGACAUUGCUUUUAAAGGUGUCUUGAUUUGGUGUCUAAACCAGCUUGUAUCUGCUAUAGUAUUGGGGGAGACAGCGCAGGUCUCUGAUGGGUGAACUGUGUGUUAUCUUGUCCUUGCUGGGAUUUGCUGGAAACUAAUGAUCUGUCUGGUCCGGCAUCUUCCAUUCCAGGUAUCAGCAGCCGUCAUCUCCGAAAGCAAGCACAAGAAGUUGAUAUUAAUCAAGGAAUGAGCUUUUCCUGGUGUUUUCUUCCUUGAUCCAGCUCAUGGCAGGAACGUCUGAUAACGCGGGGCUGAGAUCACCCUCCUGGCCCCGGUCAUCUGGCAGCUCGGUGCUUACUGCGUCUCCAGGACAACCCUCUGUGCCGAUCUCCUCGGGAAGCUCCGCGUGUUCCUCCAGACCCUUGUCAUCCUCUUACUAGGAUUUGCACUUGUGUUUGGAAAAGCACCUCCUGUGCUCUUGCUCAGCCCAGAUGUCCAGCGCUGCAUGGGGGGGCAACAGAGGAGAUCAGCUGCACAGAGUCUCCCGUGAGCCCUCGCAGCCCAGUUUGUGAUGCACCUGGAACCGCACACCGACCAUCGCUGCUUCCCGAGCUCAGUGACAAGAUAAUGGAGCAAAUAAAGCGCAAAGCAACUGAAACCCUUGUGUCCGCAGCAGAAAGAAGCGGCAGGAGCUGUGCAGCCCCGUGCUCCACAAAACCAGAAAGCAGAACAAGCUCCUCAGUUUGCUGCCAACAUGGGGUAAGUCUGAUUCCUGCAGGUUUCGAGGUGGAAGCAGCAUCAAGAACCACUUGGUGUGAUGCUCCUGCAUCCCCCCGGACUCUGAAAACACCAGAGCAUGUAUGUAUAUAUUUUAUAUAUAUAUAUAAUAUAUAUAUAAAAAAAUCUCUAUCAUCUCUAUCUCUAUCUCCUCUCUAUCUCUAUCAUCUCUAUCUCUAUCUCUAUCUCCUCUCUAUCUCUAUCUCCUCUCUAUCUCUAUCUCCUCUCUAUCUCUAUCUCCUCUCUAUCUCUAUCUCCUCUCUAUCUCUAUCUCCUCUCUAUCUCUAUCAUCUCAUCUAUCAUCAUCUCAUCUCUAUCUCUAUCAUCUCAUCUAUCAUCAUCUCAUCUCUAUCUCUAUCAUCUAUCAUCAUCUCAUCUCUAUCUCUAUCAUCUAUCAUCAUCUCAUCUCUAUCUCUAUCAUCUAUCAUCAUCUCAUCUCUAUCUCUAUCAUCAUCUCAUCUCUAUC